Molecule: long non-coding RNA, 1936 nt
Filed under: Homo sapiens (human)
Lineage: Eukaryota; Metazoa; Chordata; Mammalia; Primates; Hominidae
Description: HSALNT0252095
Source: RNAcentral
CACAGUGUGCACCUGUAGAUGGUCAGCCCAGUUCUUUCAGCUGCACCACCAGAGACACCCUUACUGACAGAAUAGCCUCUUCCCUCUGUGCAAAAUUUCUCUCUGUGCACAUUUUGAUGAUCUCCCCACCUCCCUCAUUUGAUUUCGGCUGUGCUUGUUGUUAUAAUUGUUUUACAAGUGUAUGUACAAACAGUGUGCUACCUCUUUAAAAUUUUCUAAAUACCUUGGGAACUCAAGCUUUCGGAGGAGGCUUCUCCAGCCACCUGUGGCUGCAAAACUGUGUGUGAAAACUUGGAGACUGUCAGGAGUGGAAGGGUGAUGUGUCCUGGCUCCCCGCCGUUCUAGAAUGAUAGGACAUUGCAAUAGCAGCAAAUUUGGAAAUCGUGUCUGACUUGGAUACUUUACUGAUGCAGAAACUGGAGUGUGGAGAAGAUUAGUGAUCUCACGUUCACCAGGUCCUAGCCUGAGUCCUUCCUUGCUCAAUGAGGAGUCUAAAGACCUUUCACGGCUUUGGAGUUAAGAGGGUGAAAGUAGAAUGAGUAAAAGAUGACAAAUUCCUACCUUUGCUUUCCACAUUAACCACUGCUUGAAGAUAUCAACAUGUCGGCCACACUGAAUAGUUUUAUCCGCCGUGUCAAAGUCAACAUUGUAGAGUUUACCUGACUGGAAAAGAUAUUCAGCUUGCAUCUGAUUACAUGCAUCUAGAAGGCCCUAAAAAAGGAAAAACAUAUCUAACAUCCUUUUGUCUCAUAUGAAAAAUGUGGAAAACAUUCCUCCUCAGUGUUAAAGACUUCAAGAAGCUUUCCUUUGGAAGAUUAAGAAAUAAUCACUAGAAAAGGACAUGUUACCCAUCAUUGAGACAGAAAUGUUUUCUCAGUAUGUAUGUUGCUUCAGCACAUCAAAACCUAAAUUUAUGUGCAUUGAUGGGGUAUAAUUUAAAUGUUAAUUAAGCAGAACUAUUUGUACAAGAGGUAAAUAACAUUAUAUGUAUUUAUGUGUUUGCUAUAUGCUUUCCAUUUCACAUUACAUCAUUUGAUCCUCAUGGAAAACUGAUGGUGUAGGUACUAUAAUGACAACAUUUUUAUAGAUUGAAGAAACUGAGAAUAUUAACAUGUUAAGUAAUUUUCAAGAACAUAUAUCUAUACAAUGAUGAAUUUGGGAGCUGAAAAAAGGGCAGUUUGACUUGAGGUUUGUGGAAACACAACAUCCUAAGGAAGAUAACUCACACUCUGUUUCAGGCUAGGCUUGUGGAUCUAUAGGAAGGACCACAAUGUGACGGUCAGUGUUGAAGUAUUUCAGGGAAAUAGAAUAGAAAUUAUAACUCAAAAAUGAAAAUAGUUUAUGAAUCUGUAUUUUGGGUGUCCUAUUUACACAUGUAAAUAUUUUCUUCUUAGGCUCUUUUGAACCCCCUUUUUAAUCUUUUGUUAGAGCAGGCCUAGAGACUAUUGUAAACACUUUAAAACAGUAUCAUCAAGAUGAGUUUCUGCACAGCAAAAGAAACUACCAUCAGAGUCAGCAGGCAACCUACAGAAUGGGAGAAAAUUUUUGCAAUCUACUCAACUGACAAAGGGCUAAUAUCCAGAAUCUACAAUGAACUCAAACAAAUUUACAAGAAAAAAAACAAACAACCCCAUCAAAAAGUGGGCGAAGGAUAUGAACAAACACUUCUCAAAAGAAGACAUGUAUGCAGCCAAAAGACACAUGAAAAAAUGCUCAUCAUCACAGGUCAUCAGAGAAAUGCAAAUCAAAACCACAAUGAGAUACCAUCUCACACCAGUUAGAAUGGCGAUCAUUAAAAAGUCAAGAAACAACCGGUGCUGGAGAGGAUGUGGAGAAAUAGGAACAUUUUUACACUGUUGGUGGGACUGUAAACUAGUUCAAUCAUUGUGGAAGUCAGUGUGGCGAUUCCUCAGGGAUCUAGAACUAGAAAUACCAU